Xenia sp. Carnegie-2017 is the source of this 779-nucleotide long non-coding RNA. RefSeq lists it as uncharacterized. The transcript has 4 exons. Lineage: Eukaryota; Metazoa; Cnidaria; Anthozoa; Malacalcyonacea; Xeniidae. The record is from RefSeq and is a predicted model, not a curated record.
UUUGAGUAAAUGAAUUCUUUUCUUGAUUUAUAAACAUUUUUGUUGGUGUAGAAUGGAUUCGUUGGACGUCUAUUUAUCCAAGAAACAACAACGGGCAAAGGAUUUGUUUCAUUCUGGGAAAAAGGUCAACGUAGUGAAGCCAUUAGUGGACGUCGACGUCCCAGCAAAACCGAGCGAAGUGGGGUUGUGGAAAAAGAGGCUAGCUUUCAACAUUUCGUCAACAUCGAAUGAGAAACUGUGAGAACUCCGUCCACAAGAAAGGGAUGCAACAAAUCAAUCAAAAUUUGCGACAAACCAGCUAUCCCUUUCAGAUUCACUUCGAAUGCGUUACCAUUUGCUUCACCAACUCCUCGUAAGAAAUUUGACUUACAAGCAAGCCUUUCAAAACGCCUUAACUACACACCGUACACAGGUAAACUACCAGCCCUGUCUCAUGGAAAACAAAUUCCCGAGGUCAAGAGUAGGAAACCAGUUAAUCACAAACAAGAUAUGAAAGCGGUUAAAAUCUCGACAAGCCGAAGUCUACGUCUUUCAAGACAACGAAACGCGCAAAGUCAAGCUCGACAGUCAGCUCUGAGCAGAAGAAGAGGUUUGAACAACUAAGAGGAGGAGCCAGAAUGUGUGUCCUAGGCAUUUUUUCUUUGUAUAUAAUACAAUUAACUUUAAAUUCAUAUUUUGCUGAUUACAUUGCGGCUUUGAUCUUUCUUUAUGAUUCCACAAACAAUUUUUUUCUCAAUUCAAACUUUGAGAAUAGAUUUCGUUUGCUUUCCUUUCGUAAA